GAUGAAGAACGCAGCGAAAUGCGAUAAGUAGUGUGAAUUGCAGAAUUCAGUGAAUCAUCGAAUCUUUGAACGCACAUUGCGGCCAUAGGUAUUCCUUUGGCCAUGCCUGUUCGAGCGUCAUUUACACCCUCAAGCCUAGCUUGGUGUUGGGCGUCUGUCCCGCCGUUCUCGCGCGCGGACUCGCCUCAAAGUCAUUGGCGGCGGUCGUGCCGGCCCCCUCGCGCAGCACAUUUGCGCUUCUCGGAGGCCCGGCGGAUCCGCGCUCCAACAAGACCUUUCACGACUUGACCUCGGAUCAGGUAGGGAUACCCGCUGAACUUAAGCAUAUCAAUAAGCGGAGGA
This 342-nucleotide unclassified non-coding RNA is filed under the name soil metagenome. Its description in RNAcentral is "partial contains 5.8S ribosomal RNA, internal transcribed spacer 2, and large subunit ribosomal RNA". The stretch from base 1 to 120 matches the Rfam family "5.8S ribosomal RNA", at positions 35 to 154 of the family's 154-position model. The record is from RNAcentral.